Non-coding RNA from Sus scrofa (pig), 1688 nucleotides. The record is from RefSeq and is a predicted model, not a curated record. Lineage: Eukaryota; Metazoa; Chordata; Mammalia; Artiodactyla; Suidae.
ACCCCUAGCCCGGGAACUUCACAUGCCGAGGGUUCGGCCCUAAAAAGCAAACAAAAACAAAAACCAUAGGAACAAUGUUGGAUUGACAAUCAGCUUUUGGGAGACGGGAGGUGGCACUGUCGGCACAGACACGGUGGCUUUCGGAACCACUUGCCAGCAGCCUCAGGGGACCUCAGAGGACAAAGCCGGCAGCCUGGCUGCUUCUGACGUCAGUGGUAACAGGAGAGGCAGAGCAGGGAGCGGCCAGAGGCUGACACCAGGAAGGGGUCAUGGGGACCAGGAUGGAAGCGCACCAGAGACAUAGCCUGGGGGCUCCCCCCAAUUCUUAGAAGAAUCCAGUAGGUCCUGGGAUCCAGCAAAGCAAGAGGGAUGGAGUCAGAGAGGAUACCCAGCGACACUCCAGUGACUGGCUGCUCCCGUAUCCUGGGUCCAGGAGGGAAGACUAUAGGAGCGGAAUUGCACCUGACCCAUGAUCCAUCAGAGUUUUUCUCUCAAUAUCAAGCUUCCACAGACUCUCUGCUGCGGUGGAAAUAUUUGAAAACAAUCAAGUGGAACCCACUGGGGAUGCUGUGUCCUUUUGAAUGCAGUCCACAGCUUCUCCCUGGACAAGGCAGACCGCUAUGUUUAGAAUCAUGGAGACCCAGCUACAGUCAUGAGAUAAUCCUGCCUGAGCAGGAUAACCAGGAACUGUUGCAAAAUUAAGGCUAAGCGCGUGGGUAGGGUAAGAGGGUGGGGAGGGGUGGGUUGCACCAUCAGCCUUUUAGGAAGGAUGGUUUGUCUCCAAGGGGGACACACAAUGGCUGUGAGAUCCACCUUCCAUACCUAGGGGGCCUUCAAGCUGAACCACCUGACCUGGUCUGACUUCAAUUGACCGCAGCUACAAAAAGCAGCAGGCAAGCAGUAUCCCAGCCCGAGCAUUGAAGCGGACACUGACUGUUAGCACAGAGAGACGCACUCAAAGCGCAGAAGACAGUUGUGCCAGGUGGUGACUGUGGUGCUGUGGGCCCAGAGCAGCCCGCCCUCUGAGCCAUCCCUGACGGGACAGGGAAGAGGUGCCUCGUCUGGCAGGUCACAGACUCCCUCCAGCUUCCAUCUGGCUGUGGUUCUUACCAGCAGUGACCUUGGCCUCAGGGGAGGGAGUGGGGCCAUCCUCCUAAGCCCCAUUCAAGGGACGGCAGAGACACUAUCCCUUCCAAGUGAAUAAACGCCUCCUCCGAGGCCCCGAGGCAGCCCAUUCCACAGCCAUACGGAGAACAGAGCAUCCUUCUGGGGUCUGUGUCAAACAAAGGCUGACACGCCUCAGACCCCACCAUCAACAGCAUCAAGGCACACCCAGCAUGAACUAUUUCACCUGGCCUGGCAAAGGUUAAGUCAUCUGACGCCUGGCACUGGCCACUGUGUGGAGUGAUAGGAACUCCCCUAGCGGGUGACUGGCUUCUAAGACACUAUGGCCAUUUCACAAAACAAUUUGGCAUCACCCGGUAAUGUUAGUGGGAGCAUAACAUUGGAUCCAUCAGUCCUAGUCCUAAACACUCACCCUAGAAAUUGCUCGUCUGUGCACACAAGGAAACAUACAAGUGCUCCUAGCACAGCUGUUUAUACGAACAAUCAGGAACAGGACUCCUGCUGUGGCUCAGCAGGUUAAGGACCUGACAUAGUGUCCGUGAGGAUGUGGGUUCGAUCCCUGG